CCUCAGCCCAAAUCACAAAUAAACAUAAGAGGCUAAGAGGCUAGACUAUAACUUGAAGAGGAACUACAAGAACAACAAAAUGAUCGAAUGGAAAACACAUAAAACAAACUGAAAUUAAUACAUGGACAUGGAACGAAUCUAAAAGUGUAAGUUAAUUUUCAGCAAAACUAAGAUUUAUCCUCAAAUCUCUAACUUGGUUAAAUGUUUCAGAUUUGCACCUCACAUAGCGAUAGAGGCCAGGGAGUACCUGGAGAUCAUAAUAAACAAGAGAUGAUGAGGACUUCAGCAAUAACAAAAGAGUGAGCAUAUCAACAAGUCAAACAGCCAUAUUCAUCUUCCUUAAUCCAUUUUUAAACACUAGAUAAUAAGUAAUCCCUUAAAACGCUUACAUUUUUUCUGCAAUAAACCAAGAAGCAAUUUCAAACAAUUUUACAAUUAAAAAUUAUGCAGAACUUUGACUGUUUUUUCUCAGAGUAUCAGUGAAUCAUUUUUUAAUUAACGAAAGGUUUAUGGAUAACCUUCUUUGGUGGCCAUGUGUUGCAAAAAUUUAAUGGGAAUCAUUCCCUCAUAGGCAUCUUUUUUCAAUAGAAUUGGGAUAGCUGGAAGCCUGUAAUAGGCUCCAACAUUUGUGCUGGCCAAGAUUGGGUCAACUGCCCAUAUUUUAAAAGUUUCCCUAACAGAAAACUUUGAUUUUCUAUUCUUAAAACACCUCCCAAGUUUCCUAUUAUUCACUUCUCACCCUAACAGUUUCCUAACAACUACUAACUAGACAAACAAUAGAAAAUGGGAAACUAUGAGUAAAAUUAAAUCAAACAGUCAGCUACUUGACAAAUUCAUCUAUAAUCAAAUAAGAAUGAGAAUUGAUCAUUUAGCACCAAAAUCUCAAUACAAAAGGAAAAUUUAUAUCUAAAUCAUGCAAUUUAGGACUAUGAAUUAUAAUAGAAACAACAAUUAAAAGAACGAUAACUCAUGAUAACCCCACCCCAAAAGAGAUAUGAUUUAAUCAAAUGAACAAAAUUAAAAAAAAAAAAGAAUAACCUAAUGACUUAAACAAACCCAUAACAGAAACUAAUGAGCAGGCAAAUGGUUAAAAUGAAACUAGAAUCAUGAAGAAAAUAAAGCAAAGCAAAAGAGGGAACGAUGAGAUACUGGCUAACCGGGAAAUGGCUUGGUAAUUAAAUCCAAGUAAUGGCAAAGAAGGCGGAGAAAUAAUGAUUGACCAACGUGGAUGGCUCUCAAAUAUCGAACAAAAACUCGUGUUAAUCAAGGGCUCCAAACGAGAACUCUUGGUUAACACGGGUCUUGGUCUCAGCAGAACUAGGGUUUUCUUUCUUUUCAAUUUUCAGAUCCAAAAUUGGGGGAACUUCAAAGUGUUUUGGGGGGUUUUACUAAUGGAUUUGGGAAGAGGAGGGGACAGGGACCUCCUUGUAUCAGUUUUGGGGUGUUUGAAGGAAUUAUGAUUUAGGACUCUGAUCUUCAAUCUAAGAUUCGAAGGGCUUGAUGAUGAUUUGGGGAAAAUGGUUGGGGUUUUUCGGAAAGAGGAGGGAACGGGGGAUAUGUGGUGUUAAUUUUGGGAGGUUUGGACCACCGAAACUUCCAUGAGGCGAAUUCCAGUGGGUGGUUGACGGCGGAGCCGGUGGGGAAUCUUAGCGCAGCGGCUAGGGUUUCGUUCUCUGAAUUGAGAGACAAGAAUAAGGGGGAAUGGAAUUNNN
Molecule: long non-coding RNA, 1712 nt
Filed under: Nicotiana benthamiana
Lineage: Eukaryota; Viridiplantae; Streptophyta; Magnoliopsida; Solanales; Solanaceae
Description: long non-coding RNA (NBEN_LNC032444)
Source: RNAcentral